RNAcentral lists this ribosomal RNA (385 nucleotides) under uncultured bacterium. RNAcentral's name for it is "bacterial SSU rRNA". It matches the Rfam family "Bacterial small subunit ribosomal RNA", at positions 29 to 417 of the family's 1533-position model. The record is from RNAcentral.
AAUGAACGCUGGCGGCAUGCCUUACACAUGCAAGUCGAACGGCAGCGGACCUUCGGGUGCCGGCGAGUGGCGAACGGGUGAGUAAUAUAUCGGAACGUACCUUUCAGUGGGGGAUAACGUAGCGAAAGUUACGCUAAUACCGCAUAUUCUGUGAGCAGGAAAGCAGGGGAUCGCAAGACCUUGCGCUGAUUGAGCGGCCGAUAUCAGAUUAGCUAGUUGGUGAGGUAAAGGCUCACCAAGGCGACGAUCUGUAGCGGGUCUGAGAGGAUGAUCCGCCACACUGGAACUGAGACACGGUCCAGACUCCUACGGGAGGCAGCAGUGGGGAAUUUUGGACAAUGGGCGCAAGCCUGAUCCAGCCAUGCCGCGUGAGUGAAGAAGGCCU